CUGUGACACCUCACAAGCCCAGGGAGUCUGGGAAGCACACAGAGCAAGUGCCGUAGGUGGCAAGUGUCAGGAAGGAACAAAGGAGCUGAAGAUCAAUUUACCAUAGUGUUGCUGAGAAAAAGGCGAGAUGUCUACCAAUGGUCAGGUAGACAAAGGGCCCGAGAACAGAAGGGAUAACAGAGCAAAGGAGAGAGUGAGCUCAAGCCAAGGCAGAUUUUGCAUGAUUGUUGAGCCAUCUCUAGGCAGAAUGGAAGUGUAAUAGUUUUUGAGCAGAAUUUCUCAACCUCAAUUCUGCUAAGUUUGGGUGAGACAAUUGUUGUGUGUGGAGGGGGGACUGUCCAUUGGAUUGUGAGAUCAGAGCAUCUCAGAGCAGUGCCAGAUGGAUACUGAAGUAACAACAAUCUAAACUAAAGCAAAACCAGGAAACAAAAACAAAAUACAUAUAUACAUGCAUACAUACAACAUAUAUACAUAAAUAGUAAGAGAAAAGGAAACCAAGAAACAAAAAAGUAAGAAA
RNAcentral lists this long non-coding RNA (517 nucleotides) under Rattus norvegicus (Norway rat). RNAcentral's name for it is "long non-coding RNA NONRATT025716". Lineage: Eukaryota; Metazoa; Chordata; Mammalia; Rodentia; Muridae. The record is from RNAcentral.